GAACCUUUCUCCACGACUGAGGAAUCUAAUACACGAGCAAGUAUGUCAAGAAUAGUCUUGCUUGCAGAAGCUUUAUUUGGAUUUUUAGAUGAACUUCAUCGCCAGCCCACGCCAUUUUCAUUAUCUAUGGCCUCUCUCCCAGCAGCAGAAUCAGUUGUUGACUCUUUUCCUCUGAGGUGUCACAAAAUGGUUGACACCGCUGAUGGUGGUAGUAAUACUGAACAAUGUUACAUAUGCCUGGUGGAGUAUGAAGAAGGGGACAAAAUUCGUGUUCUGCCUUGCAAUCAUGAGUUCCACAUGGCAUGCGUUGACAAGUGGCUUAAGGAGAUACAUGGUAUAUGUCCCCUGUGUCGUGGAAAUGUCUCUGAAGGGUUCACCGAGUCUUCUGCCUCAGACACACAAACGUCAUCUCACUGAUUUUGUGUAUGUGCGAUUGUAAAUAUUAGCAUCAUUUCCGCUCCUUGGAAAUCCGGGAGCUGCGGGAAAUUCAUGGCGAUGCUUGAUUGGCAAAGAAGGUAUCGGCAUUUCUUUCGAUUUCAGUCCUCCUUGGCUGACCAGAAGCACCGUCAUCAACCCCCACGCAAGUUUCAUGGUAGCUAGCCAUUAUUGCCUGCUUCUUUCUGUCAUGAAAAUAGGAAGAAAAUAAUGCGACACUUGCCCCUUUGAAUGUUGUUUCUUUCUCCCCUUGAAUAAGUUUCGCUGACUGCAAAGAAUAUUGCUUCUAAUUGAGGGCAAUGGUAGACCUUUUGCAGUUACAACUAAAUUGCUAUAUAUGUAAAGAUAAACUUUCAAUCACUUAUUUAAAUAGUUUAUUUUGUAUCUGUUGUUUCUUUUUUUUUUUCUUGGAUUAUAAAAAGUCACUUGUUUAUGGAACGA
RNA transcript from Prosopis cineraria, 876 nucleotides. RefSeq lists it as uncharacterized. NCBI's taxonomy places the organism in Eukaryota, Viridiplantae, Streptophyta, Magnoliopsida, Fabales, Fabaceae. The record is from RefSeq and is a predicted model, not a curated record. The transcript has 6 exons.